This 513-nucleotide ribosomal RNA is filed under the name uncultured bacterium. RNAcentral describes it as "partial 16S ribosomal RNA". It matches the Rfam family "Bacterial small subunit ribosomal RNA", at positions 28 to 523 of the family's 1533-position model. The record is from RNAcentral.
GAUGAACGCUGGCGGCGUGCCUAAUACAUGCAAGUCGAGCGAACAGAUAAGGAGCUUGCUCCUUUGAAGUUAGCGGCGGACGGGUGAGUAACACGUGGGUAACCUACCUAUAAGACUGGGAUAACUUCGGGAAACCGGAGCUAAUACCGGAUAACAUUUAGAACCGCAUGGUUCUAAAGUGAACGCUGGUUUUGCUAUCACUCAUAGAUGGACCCGCGCCGUAUUAGCUAGUUGGUAAGGUAACGGCUUACCAAGGCGACGAUACGUAGCCGACCUGAGAGGGUGAUCGGCCACACUGGAACUGAGACACGGUCCAGACUCCUACGGGAGGCAGCAGUAGGGAAUCUUCCGCAAUGGGCGAAAGCCUGACGGAGCAACGCCGCGUGAGUGAUGAAGGGUUUCGGCUCGUAAAACUCUGUUAUUAGGGAAGAACAAAUGUGUAAGUAACUGUGCACAUCUUGACGGUACCUAAUCAGAAAGCCACGGCUAACUUCGUGCCAGCCGCCGCCGUAA